GGCAACGCUGCGGCCCCGCCCACGUCAUGGCGCCUGAGGAGAACGCGGGUACCAAACUCUUGCUGCAGAGUUUCGAGCGCCGCUUCCUAGCGGCGCGCACACUGCGCUCCUUCCCCUGGCAGGUGGGCGGCGGGGCGAGCGGAGAGGCCUGCGGGGCUUGCGGAAGUCCAGGGGCAGACGGGAUGGGUCUCCCUGCUGAAACCCCCGGCGCUCCUGCCACUAACCUGAAGCUUUCACCGUAGACGUGCUGUAUUGCCCAGAAGCCAUCGUGUCCCUGGUCGGGGUCCUGCGGAGGCUGGCUGCCUGCUGGGAGCACCAGCGGGCUCCUGAGGUCUACAUGGCCUUUACCGUCCGCAACCCAGAGACGUGCCAGGUGUUCACCACCGAGCUAGGCUGGGCUGGGAUCAGAUGGGAAGCGGAAGCUCAUCAUGACCAGAAACUGUUUCCCUAUGGAGAGCACUUGGAGAUGGCAAUGCUGAACCUCACACUGUAGGACUCAUACACGACUCCAACGGGAUUGUUAGAAUCAAAUCACUCUCGUGGGAAGAAUUUUUAUAUGGGAAAGCGGAUAAAACUUUCAUUGGACUGGAAUGUUUGGAGAAUGUUAAAUUCCAAAUCAGGAACCACAAUCUGCCCUCUAAUAAGACAUCGGCUAUCUAAGCAUGUGGGUGCCCCCUUUCUGCCAGCAGUUCUGGUUCUUAAGAAAAUCACCAUAAAUCAGACAUGAAAAUUCUGGCUCCAAAAAUAGCAUUUUCUUUGUGCAAAUAAAAACGUGUGUAUCAAGUA
RNAcentral lists this long non-coding RNA (786 nucleotides) under Homo sapiens (human). Its description in RNAcentral is "novel transcript". Lineage: Eukaryota; Metazoa; Chordata; Mammalia; Primates; Hominidae. The record is from RNAcentral.